Molecule: transfer RNA, 74 nt
Filed under: Blastochloris sp.
Lineage: Bacteria; Pseudomonadati; Pseudomonadota; Alphaproteobacteria; Hyphomicrobiales; Blastochloridaceae
Description: tRNA-Val
Rfam family: tRNA
About the family: Transfer RNA (tRNA) molecules are approximately 80 nucleotides in length. Their secondary structure includes four short double-helical elements and three loops (D, anti-codon, and T loops).
Source: RNAcentral
GGACUGUUAGCUCAAUUGGUCAGAGCGCUCGCCUUACAAGCGAGAGGUUACAGGUUCAAGUCCUGUACGGUCCA